This 73-nucleotide transfer RNA is filed under the name Symphurus plagiusa (blackcheek tonguefish). Its description in RNAcentral is "tRNA-Leu". The record is from RNAcentral. RNAcentral also lists the same sequence under 1 other name. Lineage: Eukaryota; Metazoa; Chordata; Actinopteri; Pleuronectiformes; Cynoglossidae.
GUCCAUGAUGGCAGACAAGCACAUGCAGAAGGGCUAAAACCUUCCCACGAAAGUUAAAUUCUUUCUCUGGACU